Molecule: non-coding RNA, 3184 nt
Organism: Oryza sativa Japonica Group (Japanese rice)
Lineage: Eukaryota; Viridiplantae; Streptophyta; Magnoliopsida; Poales; Poaceae
Source: RefSeq, a predicted model, not a curated record
UCUCUUGAGAAUUUAUCUUUCGCAAAGAAACCCUCGUCUCUCACCCCUCCUCUCUCCCUCCCUUCCCCCGCCUUCUCCCUCGCGCUCGCCCGCCGGCGAGCAGCCCCGGCGGCGCGCGCGGUGUGUACGGCCUCCUCUCGCUCGCGCCCCCAUCCUCCUCCCCCUGCCCCGCGCGCUCGGCCGGCGAGCAGGUCCCGGCCUCCUUCCAUCUCGGCUCGAAUCGAAUCGAAUCCAAGGUUUUCAACCGCUGUGACAGACGAUGGAGGAUGAUGAGAGGGGGGAUGGCGAUGAGCUGAUUGCCGACUAUGUCGACUGCCUCAUGUCCCUGGACACCAACUCCCGCUCUUGCCAGAAUGACGCCCUGAUUCUUGAAGGAGCUCCAGAUGAUGUAGACGACGACGCCGCUGCGGCGGCGGCCGCGGCGGCGGAGCAGGAUGUGAUGAGAGAUUUUGCUCCUGGUGAUGGUGAUGGUGAUGCUGAUGCUGAGAAUGAUCCCAAGGAGCCGGUGCUCGGCAUGACGUUCGAGUCCGACGAGGCGGCAAAGAUGUUCUACAAUGAGUACGCCAGGUGGCUCGGGUUCCCCUUCCGCGUCGGCCGGUCCCGGCGAUCGAAGGGCAUGGAGGAGGUUGUAAUCAUGAAGAGGUUCGUUUGCUCGAGGGAAGGGGCGCACAAGAAGAAGCAGCCAUCGACGUCCGGCGAGGCUACCAGUAAGCGUGAGAGGGCAUCGAUGCGGGAAGGUUGCAAUGCCAUGAUGGAGGUGGUCAGGGACAAGGACCAUUGGGUUGUCUCCAAGCUUGAGAAGGCUCACAACCAUAGCCUUGGCAUCGGCACCAGAUACGGGUAUCUUCGUGCCAGAGGAUUGCCUGAUGUGUCCAACAAGAUCGCUGCGAUGGGCUCUGACGGGACCGCCUCUCUUAGGCAGAAUUUCCUUGGGGAGACCGGUGACGGCCAGGGUCUUCUUGAUUAUCUGAAGAAGAAGCAAGCCAAUGACCCCAGGUGUUCCCAUGCCAUACAGGUCGACAAGAAUGGUUGUCUGAUGAAUGUUUUUUGGGCUGAUUCUAGAGCUAAAGAAGCCUAUCGGCAUUUUGGGGAUGCUGUCACAUUUGACACGUCAUAUAAGAAGACCAAGUAUAUGAUGCCCUUUGUUACCUUCUCAGGUGUCAACCAUCAUCUUCAGACAGUAAUUUUUGGUUGUGCGUUUCUUAUGGAAGAAACUGAAUCCUCAUUUUCUUGGCUGUUUGAAACUUGGUUAGCAGCAAUGGGUGGGAAGGCACCAGGCUCGUUAGUCACUGACCAAAAUAGGGCUAUGAAGGCUGCAAUUGGAAAGGUUUUUCCAGAUACCUGUCACCGCUUCUGCAAGUGGUAUAUUUUGAGUAGAACCAAACAAAAAUUAUGUCAUGCAUACUCUGAGCAUCCGGACCUGAGGGAUGAGAUAGAAAGCUGUGUGAUUGAAUCUGAAACUAUCUCUACUUUUGAAACAUCAUGGAUGUCAAUCCUCGAGAAAUAUGACUUGAGAAAACAUGCAUGGCUUCAAGCAAUUUACAAUAUACGCCAAAAGUGGGUUCCUUUGUACAUGAUGGGUACAUUCUUUGCAGAAAUAUCACCCACACAAAAAUUGGAGACCAUGAAUGACUUUUAUAAGAAAUACUUCAAUACAAAGACAACGCUGGAGGUUUUCCUUAAUCAAUUUGAUUCGACCAUGACAAGUCGAUAUGAAAAUGAAGCACAAGCAGAUAUAGACACUCGGUUAAAUGAGGCAACUACAAGGACUGCAUCGCCAAUAGAGAAACAGGCAGCAAGCACUUACACAAAAGCAGUCUUCAGUAGGUUUCAAGAAGAAUUCACAGAAUCCUUGGGUUAUAUCAUUCAGAAAACUGAAGAAGGCAGAGUAAACAAAUUCAGCAUCACAAAAGAUGAAGAUGAUCCAUCAGACACAUUCUGUGUGACUUAUAAUGCUUCCAGUAAGAUGGCAAAGUGUAGUUGCAAGUACUUUAAGUUCUCAGGUAUUUUAUGCCGUCAUAUUCUUGGAGUAUUCAUAAUAGUUGAUCCACGCACACUUCCACCUGAUUACUUUUUGAAACGUUGGACGAGGAAUGCCAGACAUGAUGAAUUGUUGGAAGACAACAGCAAUAACCACAAAGAUGCUACUUGUCAAUCCAUUACAAGCCGUUACAAUGUCCUGUGUGCUGAUGCCAUCAGAUGUGCUGACAAAGGAUCUGCAUCAAAGGCUGUGUAUAAAGCAGCAAAAGACAUCUUACAGAAGGCAUAUGAAGAAAUCAUUGCCUAUGAAAGAAAUCCUGGCAGAGGAUUACAAAGGGAUGCUAUAAACAUCAAUGAGGAUAUCACAAUAGAUGAUACCAUGAAUGAUCAAUCUUUGCCAGAUUUCUGGACAAAAGGAACCUAAAAUCUUCUAGGCCAGCUUCUUGGCAACUCUCGAUCUCCAAUCUGAAUGUAUAUAUUUUUGUCUUCUCUUGGAGAUGCGAUGCAAAUUACCACCAUUGCAUGGUGUCAUGCUUGACAUGCAAUUUCCAUGUUGAAUUGACCAGUGGAGAACAGCAUAUGGACCAAGAUGAAAAGAGUUUCCACCGAUGGAUUCGGAUCAACAGCAACAAUAUGGGUUGAGACUUGGAAGCUCCCUUUUGAAAUGUGCAUCAAAUCCACCCUGCUUGCCAACUUUAAUCCUUGAGAUCACUGCGCCUAUGAGAUUCAUUUGGGCAUUUGGCCAUUAUGGCUAGUUGAUAGUUGUUCGUCAGACAUCAGCCGUUGUUGCAUCAACAUCUCAGAUGUUCAGAACGCACUCAAGUAUCAGGAGUACUGACGCAAUCAAACAAUACUUCCAAAGAUUUGGAUUAAGACUAGCCUAAAUGAUGCUUGAACUGAAAUUAGUACUGAGUGUUCAUGGAGAUGGAGGCGAGGGUUGUGAUUCUUUGAUGAUAGGAUUAGGCUGUUAGGGUAGGAAGCUGUGCAACCAUUGAUUACUUCUUUCUUUUUCUUUUUGUCCAAAGAUGAGUUAGUAGAAGGAAGCAAAACCAGUGUAGCCUAUGUCAAUGUUGUUAAUGAAUUGUAAAUUGAGGUGAAAUGGUUGAGAUCUGUAUCGUUAACCUUGUAAAAGGUGUCCUGUUUCAUCAUAGUUUAUCUGGGUAUUUACCAGUUCACGUAACCUUGUAAAAGGUGUCCUGUUUCA